CCAGACUCCUACGGGAGGCAGCAGUGGGGAAUAUUGCACAAUGGGCGAAAGCCUGAUGCAGCAACGCCGCGUGAAGGAAGACGGUUUUCGGAUUGUAAACUUCUAUCAAUAGGGAAGAAAGAAAUGACGGUACCUAAAUAAGAAGCCCCGGCUAACUACGUGCCAGCAGCCGCGGUAAUACGUAGGGGGCAAGCGUUAUCCGGAAUUACUGGGUGUAAAGGGAGAGUAGGCGGCAAGGUAAGCGAUAUGUGAAAGCCUUGGGCUUAACCAAAGGAUUGCAUAACGAACUAUCUAGCUAGAGUACAGGAGAGGAAAGCGGAAUUCCUAGUGUAGCGGUGAAAUGCGUAGAUAUUAGGAAGAACACCAGUGGCGAAGGCGGCUUUCUGGACUGAAACUGACGCUGAGGCUCGAAAGCGUGGGGAGCGAACAGGAUUAGAUACCCCGGUACAA
RNAcentral lists this ribosomal RNA (450 nucleotides) under uncultured bacterium. RNAcentral's name for it is "bacterial SSU rRNA". It matches the Rfam family "Bacterial small subunit ribosomal RNA", at positions 331 to 794 of the family's 1533-position model. The record is from RNAcentral.